CAAUAUUAAAUGAUGAUUUCAUAGUUCAUCUGAGUACAAUUGAUGUAUACCAUUUAUUGUCUCGCUCUCGCUCCUAUCUGAUAAUAUAU
Molecule: small nucleolar RNA, 89 nt
Organism: Colias croceus (clouded yellow)
Lineage: Eukaryota; Metazoa; Arthropoda; Insecta; Lepidoptera; Pieridae
Product: small nucleolar RNA snR60/Z15/Z230/Z193/J17
Exons: 1
Source: RefSeq, a predicted model, not a curated record